CCUACGGGCGGCAGCAGUGGGGGAUAUUGCACAAUGGGGGAAACCCUGAUGCAGCGACGCCGCGUGUGGGAAGACGGUCUUCUGGAUUGUAAACCACUGUCCCCAGGGACGAAAAUGACGGUACCUGGGGAGGAAGCUCCGGCUAACUACGUGCCAGCAGCCGCGGUAAUACGUAGGGAGCAAGCGUUGUCCGGAAUUACUGGGUGUAAAGGGAGCGUAGGCGGGGAUGCAAGUUGGGUGUCAAAACUACCGGCUCAACCGAUAGUCACACUCAAAACUGCAACUCUUGAGUGAAGUAGAGGCAGGCGGAAUUCCUAGUGUAGCGGUGAAAUGCGUAGAUAUUAGGAGGAACACCAGUGGCGAAGGCGGCCUGCUGGGCUUUUACUGACGCUGAGGCUCGAAAGUGUGGGGAGCAAACAGGAUUAGAUACCCUGGUAGUC
RNAcentral lists this ribosomal RNA (440 nucleotides) under uncultured bacterium. RNAcentral's name for it is "partial 16S ribosomal RNA". It matches the Rfam family "Bacterial small subunit ribosomal RNA", at positions 338 to 795 of the family's 1533-position model. The record is from RNAcentral.